RNAcentral lists this ribosomal RNA (383 nucleotides) under Favella ehrenbergii. RNAcentral describes it as "partial Bacterial large subunit ribosomal RNA". It matches the Rfam family "Bacterial large subunit ribosomal RNA", at positions 2082 to 2477 of the family's 2925-position model. The record is from RNAcentral. Lineage: Eukaryota; Ciliophora; Spirotrichea; Tintinnida; Xystonellidae.
GGAAAGACCCCGUGAACCUUUACUAUAGCUUCACAUUGGUAUUGGGUAAUUCAUGUGUAGGAUAGGUGGGAGACUUUGAUGCUGCGUCGCUAGGCGUAGAGUAGUCGUUGUUGAAAUACCACCCUUGAAUUAUCUGAUGCCUAACCCGAUGAGGGGACAUUGUGUGGUGGGUAGUUUGACUGGGGUGGUCGCCUCCAAAAGAGUAACGGAGGCUCCUAAAGGUACCCUCAACACGUUUGGUAAUCGUGUGUAGAGUGUAAUGGCAUAAGGGUGCUUGACUGAGAGACCGACAAGUCGACCAGGUAGGAAACUAGAGCAUAGUGAUCCGGUGGUUCCGCAUGGAAGGGCCAUCGCUCAAAGGAUAAAAGGUACUCCGGGGAUAA